UUACGUACGGACAAACUUUACUUAAUAAUGUCAGUAACAAAAGCAAAACACAGCAUCACAACACCAAGGCAACACGUUGAGUAGGCAUCAUGGUUGUGGUUUGUUUGUGAUCUAUUUUCUCCCUCACAGACUAACCGAACAGAACUGAGUAGCAUGGUAGGACAAAAUACCUGGGGCUCAAUUCAAUCAAACCUGCAUUGCAAUAUUUACACAGUAGCUUUUUUCUCUCUCCAAAUGGUCAAAUAAACUCAGAUUGGUCUUGGGGACUGUAUAAAAACCUAGCAGGUAUGCUAACUACUAACAGGUAUGCUACUAGCAGGUAUGCUAACUACUAGCAGGUAUGCUAACUACUAGCAGGCAUGCUUUCACAUUUCAGAAUUAGAAGUGUGUGUACACAAGAUGAAUAUUGUAAAUAAAGACAUUGCCUAAACAUUGCUAUGGUGGGUUUGAAUGAAUCCCAGUCUUUUUGUUAAAGCUAAAAUGCAGUUCAACAAGAACAUAAAAUUACAGGGUUCACAGAGCAGAACAAAUAGAGACCAACCAUCUAGACUCCAUCUCAACAGCAUAUUUACAAUCAUUGGCAGUGGUAGAUGCUAUUCCUCAGAGAAAUCAUAUACACUUUGUACACAAAAAACAUUGGUUCAGACAUUAAAAUGCUCUCUCUCUCACACACACACACACACACACACACACACACACACACAACACUGGAAUUCAUCAGGCAGUAUUGUACAGUAGGUAAGGCAUUAUGGGAUACCGUGAUGUGGAUAGUUAAAAUGAGGGUCUUGACCUUCUAGAAUAGGAUGUGACAUCAUAAAAAUAACAAAAGUACAAAUACUGACUCCUUGCCAGGAACUGCAUGGGGCAAUACCACAAGCAGUGGUGCAACGUACUUAAGUACAAAUACUGACUCCUUGCCAGGAACUGCAUGGGGCAAUACCACAAGCAGUGGUGCAACGCACUUAAGUACAAAUACUGACUCCUUGCCAGGAACUGCAUGGGGCAAUACCACAAGCAGUGGUGCAACGCACUUAAGUACAAAUACUGACUCCUUGCCAGGAACUGCAUGGGGCAAUACCACAAGCAGUGGUGCAACGCACUUAAGUACAAAUACUUGAAGUACUACUUAAGUAAAAAUACUUGAAGUACUACUUAAGUAGUUUUUUGGGGUGUAUCUGUAGUUUACUUUAGUAUUUAUAUUUUUGACAACUUUUACUUUUACUCCACUACAUUCCUAAAGCAAAUAUACUUUUUACUCCUUACAUUUUCCCUGAAACCCAAAAGUACUCGUUACAUGUUUAAUGCUUUAGCAAGGACAGGAAAUUGUCUACUUCACGCACUUAUCCAGAGGAAAUCACUGGUCAUCCCUACGGCCUCUGAUCUGGCAGACUCACUAAACACAAAUACUUUGUUAGUAAAUGAUGUCUAAGUGUUGGAGUGUGCCCAUAGCUAUCCAUAAAUGUUUUUUUAAAAACAAGAAAAUGGUGUCAUCUGGUUUACUUAAUAUAAGACAUUUUAAAUGAUUUAUACUUUUGAUACUUAAGUACAUUUAAAACCAAAUACUUUUAGACUCAAAUACUCUUCUACUCAAGUAGUAUUUUACUGGGUGACUUUCACUUGAGUCAUUUUCUAUUCAGGUAUCUUUUCUUUUACUCAAGUAUGACAAGUGGGUUCUUUUUCCACCACUGCCCCUGAGCAACGACCAAACCCACAUCCACAUCCUGUUCUGUUUUCCACAGAACACAUAAUGUCACCGUAUCUUGAAAUAAACCAUGCAAGAGUUAUGAGUUAGGGUCUAUGGAACCCAGUAUUGUGAGUUAGGGUCUAUGGAACCCAGUGUUGUGAGUUAGGGGCUAUAGAACCCAGUGUUGUGAGUUAGGGUCUAUGGAACCCAGUAUUGUGAGUUAGGGUCUAUGGGACCCAGUAUUGUGAGUUAGGGUCUAUGGAACCCAGUGUUGUGAGUUAGGGUCUAUGGGACCCAGUAUUGUGAGUUAGGGGCUAUAGAACCCAGUGUUGUGAGUUAGGGUCUAUGGAACCCAGCAUUGUGAGUUAGGGUCUAUGGAACCCAGUAUUGUGAGUUAGGGUCUAUGGGACCCAGUGUUGUGAGUUAGGGUCUAUGGAACCCAGUAUUGUGAGUUAGAGUCUAUGGGACCGAGUAUUGUGAGUUAGGGGCUAUAGAACCCAGUGUUGUGAGUUAGGGUCUAUGGAACCCAGUGAGAGGGGCAGAAUGUCCAGGUUUACUGACCUCAUCAUUAUCACACAUAAUAUAACAUUUACAUAUUACAUAAUAUUAAAUAUGAUUAUGUUAUAAGAUUAUAUGGUAUACUAUUAUAUUAAUAUAUGAUAAUGAUUACAUUACAUAAUAUUAUAUUAAUAUAUGAUAAUGAUUACAUGACAUAAUAUUAAUAUAUGAUAAUGAUUACAUUACAUAUUAUUAUAUAUGACAGAACAUGUGUAAUGUGAUGUCAGUCAAGCAGGAAGUAUGGGGCGCUGAGUUUGCUGCAGCAAAAACCAUCAUAAUAACAAUAAGAAACCAAAAACAUUUGGAAAAAAUAUUUUAGGAACUAAUCCUGUAUUAGUCUCCGUAGCGCAGGGAUUUGUUUUCUUUCUGCGUCUAUGUCACACAACAAGAAUACAGUAAUAACUAAUGAAGAAAUUACCGUAGAAAUGAAACACACCUGACAACAAGAUUACGGUAAUAACUAAAAAUGAAGGAAUUUCAGUAAACAAGAAACCCUACUGACUUUUUUUGAGGGGGGGCCAGACGUCAGAUCCUGGGUUAUAACCAUUCAUUGAUUAUCAAAAUAACCGUGUCAGGAAAAGUCUGAAAUGUGGUGGGUUGUUAGGAUACAUUAGAGUUUCAAAACUGAGUCAACAAAACAUUUGGACGUUUGGAAUGUGUUAGUAUGUAUAACAGUAGUUUCUUACACCCCCCCCCGUUAAAAAAAUACAUUUCGGAAACAUUUCAAAAUCUUUCACAACACUCAGAUAAACACUUUACAGAAACACACACAUUUACAAAGAAGGAAGUCAUGCAGAAAUGACAAUCUUUGUCCUGUACACGGAGUGUGUUUAUGAGCUUUGUGCUGUAUGUGUAUGUGUGUGUGUGUGGGUGGGUGUGUGUGGGUGGGUGUGUGGGUGGGUGUGUGUUGUAUUCAGGGGAAACGGACCCACUGGUGGACUUGUAUGUGUUUGUGUGUGUGUGUGUGUGUGUGUGUGUGUGUGUGUGUGUGUUGCAUUCAGGGGAAACGGGCCCACUGGUGGACUUGUAUGUGUUUGUGUGUGUGUGUGUGUGUGUGUGUGUGUGUGUGUGUGUGUGUGUGUGUGUGUUGUAUUCAGGGGAAACGGACCCACUGGUGGACUUGUAUGUGUUUGUGUGUGUGUGUGUGUGUGUGUGUGUGUGUGUGUGUGUGUUGCAUUCAGGGGAAACGGGCCCACUGGUGGACUUGUAUGUGUUUGUGUGUGUGUGUG
Oncorhynchus tshawytscha (Chinook salmon) is the source of this 3471-nucleotide long non-coding RNA. The record is from Ensembl. Lineage: Eukaryota; Metazoa; Chordata; Actinopteri; Salmoniformes; Salmonidae.